RNAcentral lists this ribosomal RNA (456 nucleotides) under Actinomyces sp. oral taxon C25. RNAcentral describes it as "bacterial SSU rRNA". It matches the Rfam family "Bacterial small subunit ribosomal RNA", at positions 42 to 472 of the family's 1533-position model. The record is from RNAcentral. Lineage: Bacteria; Bacillati; Actinomycetota; Actinomycetes; Actinomycetales; Actinomycetaceae.
GCGUGCUUAACACAUGCAAGUCGAACGGUGAAGCGCUUGCCUUUUUGGUGGGUGUGGAUGAGUGGCGAACGGGUGAGUAACACGUGAGUAACCUGCCCUCUUCUUCUGGAUAACCUCAUGAAAGUGGGGCUAAUACGGGGUAUUCCGGGUCUGUCGCAUGGCGGGUUUGGGAAAGAUUGCGCCUUUGGGUGUUUUCGGUGGGGGAUGGGCUCGCGGCCUAUCAGCUUGUUGGUGGGGUGAUGGCCUACCAAGGCGGUGACGGGUAGCCGGCCUGAGAGGGUGGACGGCCACACUGGGACUGAGACACGGCCCAGACUCCUGCGGGAGGCAGCAGUGGGGAAUAUUGCACAAUGGGCGCAAGCCUGAUGCAGCGACGCCGCGUGAGGGAUGGAGGCCUUCGGGUUGUGAACCUCUUUCGCCAGUGAAGCAGGCCUGCCUCGUUUGUGGGUGGGUUGA